AUUGAACGCUGGCGGCAGGCCUAACACAUGCAAGUCGAACGAGUGGCGGACGGGUGAGUAAUGUCUGGGAAACUGCCUGAUGGAGGGGGAUAACUACUGGAAACGGUAGCUAAUACCGCAUACCAUCAGAUGUGCCCAGAUGGGAUUAGCUUGUGGGUGGGGUAAAGGCACACAAAGGAGACGAUCCCUAGCUGGUAUGAGAGGAUGACCAGCCACACUGGACCUGAUGCACGGUCCUGACUCCUACGGGAGGCAGCAGUGGGGAAUAUUGCACAAUGGGCGCAAGCCUGAUGCAGCCAUGCCGCGUGUAUGAAGAAGGCCUUCGGGUUGUAAAGUACUUUCAGCGGGGAGGCGUUACCCGCAGAAGAAGCACCGGCUAACUCCGUGCCAGCAGCCGCGGUAAUUC
Molecule: ribosomal RNA, 406 nt
Filed under: uncultured bacterium
Lineage: Bacteria
Description: partial 16S ribosomal RNA
Rfam family: Bacterial small subunit ribosomal RNA
Source: RNAcentral